RNAcentral lists this unclassified non-coding RNA (887 nucleotides) under Leptinotarsa decemlineata (Colorado potato beetle). RNAcentral describes it as "cuticle protein-like, transcript variant X1". Lineage: Eukaryota; Metazoa; Arthropoda; Insecta; Coleoptera; Chrysomelidae. The record is from RNAcentral.
UUGUUCGCUAUUCGGAUUAUUUAUUGAGUACUGUGUGAAAUGAGGCGAUGUUUUUCGUCUGGGUAUUCCAAAAGUGUUGAUGCAAGUAUAACGUUACAUAUGAUACCUAAAAGCAUAGAGAGCGAAAAACUUGCAGGACGAAUAUAUUUGAAAUUAGUAGAUUAAGGCGAACAAAACGCACCUAGAGAGGAUCCACAGUUUUAACAGGUUCACAGAUCAGCCAUUUCUUCGCUUUAAUGGGUUUGGUCUCAUCAGAAGAUGGGGAGUUAGACAGCUUUUCCUUCCACAAGUUCAGUGGUCCUGUUAGUGGGGAAGCGAGAAGAAUUAUAGUUCCUAAUACAAACCAUAACCAACAGGGAAGCCAAAGCGUUGAUUUUAUAGCAAAACCAGAUUACUCAUUCACAUACGGAGUUCACGAUGGCGAAUCUGAAAACUCCCAGACACACCGCGAGUCUAGAAAUGGCGACGAAGUUCACGGAGAAUACAGGGUGUUGCAACCAGAUGGACUUGUGAGGAUAGUGCGGUACACAGCAGAUCCAUCAACAGGGUUCAAAGCUACGGUUGAGUACGCCCCACUCUGAUAUUUGAUUUGACCAAAACUUUAGGUAUUAUUUAUUCCAAAUUUUAUCCACCAGGGAAAAAAUAUAGGGCUGGGUUUGUUAGCCCAAAAAUGGACCGUGAUAAGAAAUAUGAAAAAUAUUACUCUUUUGUUAUUGUAUACUUUUUAUUCGAUAUGAUAUUAUGAAUAAGUCCGUGGAUAAAAACGGCUUGUGAAUUUGUGAUAUUUUUGUAGUAUAACAAGAAACAUAUGAUAUUUUUAAAUUCAAAGGGGCGUGUUGGAAUCUGUGAAAUGUAUUGAAACCAAAUGAUGAAUAAUAAGAUCAAAU